Molecule: ribosomal RNA, 465 nt
Filed under: uncultured bacterium
Lineage: Bacteria
Description: SSU rRNA
Rfam family: Bacterial small subunit ribosomal RNA
Source: RNAcentral
AGGACUAACGCUGGCGGCGUGCCUAACACAUGCAAGUCGAACGAGGUAGCAAUACCUAGUGGCAGACGGGUGAGUAACGCGUGGUCAACCUACCUCUUAGUGGGGGAUAACUAGCCGAAAGGUUAGCUAAUACCGCAUACGAUCGUCGCGAGGCAUCUCGUGACGAUGAAAGGAGCAAUUCGCUAAGAGAGGGGACUGCGUCCCAUUAGUUAGUUGGUGGGGUAAUGGCCCACCAAGACUCCGAUGGGUAGCUGGCUUGAGAGAGCGACCAGCCACACUGGAACUGAGACACGGUCCAGACUCCUACGGGAGGCAGCAGUGAGGAAUUUUCCGCAAUGGGCGCAAGCCUGACGGAGCGACGCCGCGUGUGGGAAGAAGGCCUUCGGGUCGUAAACCACUGUCGAAGGGGACGAUAUUGACGGUACCCUUGGAGGAAGCCCCGGCUAACUACGCGCCAGCAGCCGC